Xenopus tropicalis (tropical clawed frog) is the source of this 2755-nucleotide long non-coding RNA. RefSeq lists it as uncharacterized. NCBI's taxonomy places the organism in Eukaryota, Metazoa, Chordata, Amphibia, Anura, Pipidae. The transcript is spliced from 4 exons. The record is from RefSeq and is a predicted model, not a curated record.
CUAUAAAGAGACACUGCUUUCAUUUACCCAGCCAGAGGAAAGAGUGGGGAUGGAACGUGUCUACCUGCAAAGGAUUUCCAUGAAAAUGCUCCAUUGGAUUACAAAUUGUCACUAAAGUCUGAAGCUAUGGCACCCCAUGGAGUCUCUAUGAAAGAGAGAAACACAGCGGUCAACAUAAUGAAGAUAUGGGUAAGGUGGAAGUUAAGUCAGUAUCAUUGGUUCCUGACCAGAUCUUGCUUAUUCUACAAGGGCAUCCGCAGGGUAUGAAUGGUCUGCCAGGUUAUAUCCCCAAUGGAACCUUCCCCCAUUUUGAAGCACAGAGUAAUAACUCAUUACAGAAACAAAAUUGCGUACAAACAAGUUGCCAUUUUGCCACAAAUUAGAGAAGAAGAUGAUUUCGGCAAGGAAUCGUGUGAGUAUGCAAGGCAGUAGCCUAAAGUCUAAUGUCAAAUAAAGAAAAAUCCAGUGCCGCAGUCCUGCCUGUGCUUCCAUGGCCUCUAUCUAACCACACAUCAAAUAUGGCCCAUUAAAGGGGUUAGUUAACUCCAAAAUGACGUUUUGGAUGUGAAAAUGGUAUUCUUACAUCAUUUGAAAUGGAUGUUUAGUUUGUAUUUUUUUUUUGUUAAUUAUUAACCUUUUUUUCUGCAGCUUUCUAGUAUUGCAAUGAAGUUGCUGUUUGGUUUGGAUGUCAGAAUGGGGGAUCAAAAUAAGAGUAAAAGAUAAGAGCAAAAUAAGAGUCACUUGGAAAGUUGUUGCAUAAAACAGAUGCAAACUACCAUGGUUUCUGCACAUUUGCAGUCUGCCGCGCUCUUGACAGCAAGGCCAAAAAGACCUGCACUUCCCCCAUGAAUACUGCACUGCUGGAAUAUAGUUCAAAUGCCCUGUGGCAAGUGGUAAUAACAGGGCUACCUUGUAUCGUUCUUGUGAAGCACUCUGCACCUUAAGCCAGGUUUUUAAUCCAAUGCAACAACAAAGCUCCAUUUUAUUUUGCAUCUGGGGCCUUUGUAAGAUAACCCCCCCCCCCCCAUUGUCUCACAGUUAGUAACUAGGCACCUCAAUUGCUUUGUAUGCCAGGUAUGAGAAAGGAAGGAGAGGGCAAUGUUAACAAUGGCAAAAACAAGUUUCUGUGAUUUUAUCAAUCUAUAAAAUAUAAUUUGAAUAUGGCCGUCCCUUUCAUGCGUCAAUGUAGAAGGCCUAACAAAAACAAGGAACAGGCACUGCACAGUUCUCUUAGUAACAAUGUAAUGAACAUGAGAUAACCUGGAUCUGUGUACAUUUUAAAUAACAAUGGCUUCAAACUUGAAAUACAGUAACAGAAGCUUUAUGUUUUUGAUACUGCAUAAUAGAUGGUGUGUCUCCAUGGAUCAGCUAGUAACAGUAAUGGGGACAGAUUCCUGUGGUUAGUAGGUGUUGAAACAACAUUUCUGAUCAGACCAGUUUGUUAAUGCAUUGUUUGGGGCACAUUUUCGAUUACAAUUCCCUGGAAACAAGAGCCAAUUGCCUUGAACAACCUUGAGUAGCAUUUUUUAACCAUAAUAUAGCUAAGUUUGCUUGACAGAGUAGUAACGAUUGUCAGCUUGAUUAAAGCAUAUUUAUAUAAUUGAUCUCAAAGGGCACCCUAAUGAUUUAUGUUGUCACUGUCAGUGGACCUUAAGGCUAAAAAGUUUUCUAAGCAUUUUGCUGAGUAUGUUGAACUAGAUCAGCCAGCUGGAGUGAAACAAUGAUAACAUGAUAUGAAGCAUCAAAGAAGUACUUUUUACUAAUUUAAUGCAUGUCAUUGGUUUAUGGCAAUGUUGGAAAUUAUUUAGGGCAGGGAUCCCUAACCUUUUUUACUCAAGAGCCACACUCAAAUGUAAAAAGUGUUGGUGCACCACACAAGCAUGAAAAAAGUUUUUGGGGAUGCCGAAUAAGGAAUGUAAUUUGGUAGUCCCAUGUGGACUGCUGGCCUUCACGAGGCUCUGCUGUGUCUCUGUGCUUCCAAAACUUGUUGCUAAGCCAGAUAAAAAAAAAAUAGGUGGCUACUUUGAGGAAACUAGAAGCAUCAUUAAAAGGGGUGGUGAGCAUCAUGUUGUUCACAAGCCACUGGUUGGGGAUCACUGCUUUAGGGUGACCAGAUCACUCGAAAAUUCAGGGACACGUCUAGAAAAUCCCGCUAGAAGGGCUGCAUUGUCUGUAAUUAAAUGUAAAUGCAACAUGCAUAUAUUAGAUGUGUCCCUGAAUUUUCAAGUGAUCUGCUCACCCUACAAUGGUACAUUGUAAAGAAAAAGUUGUUGAUAGUUUUGGCAACAUAGUUUAAGUAGCAAAUUUAUCCUGAAAUUGUAUAAUUUCAAUGGAACUUUAAUGGCCAUAUUAUUAAUAAAAUUAUUGGCAGGACAUUUCCCCCCCCAUGAAAUCCUCCUUCCUGCUGCACUCAUGCUGUCUAAUCCAUUAGAAGGAAGGUCGGAAUAAUGAUCAUACAACUUAAAAGGAUGACCUAUGCCACUGCCUCUAAGUGACCCCUAUUUUUUAUAUUGCCUUUCUCAGCUAAAGUAUUCCAACAUAUCAAUUAACACCAAAAUAUUUCCCAAUUAUUGUAUUCAGGUCAUUGUAAAAAAUCCAUAAUACUAAACAAUGAUAUAAACAAACAAAAAAUAAAGACAUUUAAUCUAACUGCAGAACACUAAUGCUUAUUUCUAACAAAAACUGCGUAAAUAUGAUGAAAUAUAUAUAUUAAAGGAUAAUGCAAGUCAAAAUUUAAAAAGCAUACUGCCCAAUA